Molecule: unclassified non-coding RNA, 1338 nt
Filed under: Hevea brasiliensis (rubber tree)
Lineage: Eukaryota; Viridiplantae; Streptophyta; Magnoliopsida; Malpighiales; Euphorbiaceae
Source: RNAcentral
AUGAUUUAACUUUUUUUAACAAUGGAAAUAAAUAUUUUUCUAAAUAAUUAUUUAAUUUUAGUUAUGAACAGUUAUAAUAUAAUUUUGAUUAUAGAAAGUCAUUGUUUUCUAUUUGGAAAACAUAACUUUCGUUAUAAAGGAAACAGGAGAAAGCAAAUUAAAACUAUUUUCCAAAACUUAGCUAAAUUUUUAAGACUUGGAAAACUAGUUUUCCAGUUCUCCAUUUGGAAAAAUGGGCGCAUUUCAAUAGGAAACUCUGUUUUUCGGUUUUCUUAGAAAACUUUUUAAAAAAACUACUCCAGUUUUCUACAAGCGAGGGUCCUAAGAUUUCUGAAAUAUGGAUGUACUUUCAGUAGAAUAGUUCUUCUGCAUGUUCCUACCUUGUUACUUAUUCUUCUGCCUUCAUCAAUUAUCAUUAUGUGAAGUUGUAUUGUGUGCUUUAAAUUAAGGAACUGUGUACUUUGCAUAGGAUAUAGUGUCUCAUGCUAUUGCUAACUAUUUGAAGCAUUUUGCCUUGUAACUAUAAAAUAUCUUCAGCUUGUAGAAUGUAAAAUUAGUUAGUAAAUUGAUGGUUUGCUUCUCCAUUUGUAAUCAGUGCUAUAAUUAUAUGUGCUAGAAGGGAAUAAUUUAUAUGCAUUUGUGGUGCAACAUUUUAUAUUCUUUUUUAAUCAUGUCAUAGGUUCUUUUGGUGUAUCACAAAAAUAAUCAUUUAACCAUGAAUUUAUUUGCUCCGUGAUUUUAUGAUUUAAAAGUUUAUUAACUUCUAUUUCACUUGAUUUCAAGUUUUUGAAUGAUGUUGAUUUUAUAGCUGGAUGCCUAGAUAUGGAAAAAAAGAAAGUGGUAGACCAAUUAACAUCAUAAAUUUGAUCCACAAAACUUUCAAUGUAAUUCAUAUUUUUGACACCUGGAGUUAAUGGUGAAAUGUUGUCAAUAAAUUGAUUAGCUUGUUUUUCCUGCAACCUAAAUCUGUUCGCAAAAAACACAGUUCAAACUUGGUAAAUUUUUCUAUUUAACAUUCUACAAUAAAUUGGUGCUAACUGAUGAUAUAUGUAAGAUUAAAUUCUUUUACAUUUAAUUAAAUAGUGUUUUAACUUAGUGGCUUACGUUUUUGCAUUAAAUUAUAUAUAAGAUUUUACAAAAGGUUUGCAUCGUUGCAUUGUGGUUGAUGGUUUAAAAAUGAAUAUAUGUGGCCUGCUAAGAGAGGUAAUUUUUACAUCUAAAAUUGAGUUCUUUUGGCACUGUGAUGGGAACAUUUUCUGAUAGGGGGAAUUGACAAGCUUGUGCAACAGUUUAAAUAUAAUAAUAAUAAAAAAAAAACUCUGUUAAAAAACUCUCUAU